AUACGUAGGGGGCGAGCGUUGUCCGGAAUGAUUGGGCGUAAAGGGCGCGUAGGCGGCGCGGUAAGUCUGGAGUGAAAGUCCUGCUUUCAAGGGGGGAAUUGCUUUGGAUACUGCCGCGCUUGAGUGCAGGAGAGGUUAUCGGAAUUCCCGGUGUAGCGGUGAAAUGCGUAGAGAUCGGGAGGAACACCAGUGGCGAAGGCGGGUAACUGGACUGCAACUGACGCUGAGGCGCGAAAGUGUGGGGAGCAAACAGGAUUAGACACCCUGGUAGUCCACACUGUAAACGAUGAAUGCUAGGUGUAAGAGGUAUCGACCCCUUUAGUGCCGGAGUCAACACAAUAAGCAUUCCGCCUGGGAAGUACGGCCGCAAGGUUGAAACUCAAAGGAAUUGACGGGG
Molecule: ribosomal RNA, 397 nt
Filed under: uncultured bacterium
Lineage: Bacteria
Description: partial 16S ribosomal RNA
Rfam family: Bacterial small subunit ribosomal RNA
Source: RNAcentral